GACGAACGCUGGCGGCGUGCCUAAUACAUGCAAGUAGAACGCUGAAGCGAGGAGCUUGCUCUUCUUGGAUGAGUUGCGAACGGGUGAGUAACGCGUAGGUAACCUGCCUGGUAGCGGGGGAUAACUAUUGGAAACGAUAGCUAAUACCGCAUAAAAUUGAUUAUUGCAUGAUAAUUAAUUGAAAGAUGCAACUGCAUCACUACCAGAUGGACCUGCGUUGUAUUAGCUAGUUGGUGAGGUAACGGCUCACCAAGGCGACGAUACAUAGCCGACCUGAGAGGGUGAUCGGCCACACUGGGACUGAGACACGGCCCAGACUCCUACGGGAGGCAGCAGUAGGGAAUCUUCGGCAAUGGGGGGAACCCUGACCGAGCAACGCCGCGUGAGUGAAGAAGGGUUUCGGAUCGUAAAGCUCUGUUGUAAGAGAAGAACGGGUGUGAGAGUGGAAAGUUCACACUGUGACGGUACCUUACCAGAAAGGGACGGCUAACUACGUG
This 497-nucleotide ribosomal RNA is filed under the name uncultured bacterium. Its description in RNAcentral is "partial 16S ribosomal RNA". It matches the Rfam family "Bacterial small subunit ribosomal RNA", at positions 28 to 507 of the family's 1533-position model. The record is from RNAcentral.